GGAAAAAGGCCCCUAAAAAUCAUGGACCUGGACUCAGAUGUCACCAGCAACCACCACUAUACUACUCUUCCUAGGAACUAUCGUAGUGGCUCCAGAGACUAAGGUAACUGCAGAAAUGCUAUCUACCUGUGGCGAAUGUGGAUGGGGGCAGGCAGAGAUACAAAGGUUGGAUGAAGAGGAGAAGGAUUUGAUCAGUGAUCAGGCUUAGUGCCACUGGCAGCCUUUCUGGCUGAAGCCAACAGGUGUGAAACGGGUGGGAGAUUUAGGUACAGCUCUGGCUGCCUCUGUUAAGUUAGAGGUGUGGCAAGAUCUCUCCCUACCCCUGCAGGUUUUGCAGAACACUGCAGUGUUCACAGAUGCCACAGGAAGCAGGGUGCAGCCCUCAAGGGGGUUGGGAAAUGCUGGACUGGAAAGAGCUGAAGAGCUUUCCCUGCUACAAUACUUCUUAGAGCCUUUAAGAUGCUAAUGAGCACAGCGCAUCUCCAAGGGGGUGACAUGGGAUGUGUCCCCAGUUCAGUCACUACUGAACCUGCCAGGGGCUAGGGCAUCUUUAUGUGACCGGUGUGCAUGAAAGAGCCAACUUUGAGAAACACAGAUCUAAAUCACUGUGUGGGCUGGUGGGUAGAAUAUGGAGAAUCUUGGAGAAACCCAGUAUUGCCUUAUAGCUGAAUACUUCUGACUGUGUUACUUUAGCUUUAAGAUGGAAUUGACUUAGUCUGUAAUAUUCAAUUAGUGGAUUAUCAUUAAAGUCUCCUUCAGAUUUAACUUUAUGCACCACUGUGUU
This is a long non-coding RNA of Manis javanica (Malayan pangolin), 784 nucleotides long. RefSeq lists it as uncharacterized. The record is from RefSeq and is a predicted model, not a curated record. Lineage: Eukaryota; Metazoa; Chordata; Mammalia; Pholidota; Manidae.